This 689-nucleotide ribosomal RNA is filed under the name uncultured bacterium. RNAcentral describes it as "bacterial SSU rRNA". It matches the Rfam family "Bacterial small subunit ribosomal RNA", at positions 10 to 705 of the family's 1533-position model. The record is from RNAcentral.
AGUUUGAUCCUGGCUCAGGACGAACGCUGGCGGCGUGCCUAACACAUGCAAGUCGAACGGGACCAGGGGCAACUCUGGUUCAGUGGCGGACGGGUGCGUAACACGUGAGGAACAUGACUUUCGGCGGGGGAUAGCCGGCCCAACGGCCGGGUAAUACCGCGUACGACCCAGUGGAGACAUCUUAUUGGGUGAAAGCAGCAAUGCACCGAAAGAGUGCCUCGCGGCCUAUCAGCUAGUUGGUGAGGUAAUGGCUCACCAAGGCGACGACGGGUAGCUGGUCUGAGAGGAUGGCCAGCCACAUUGGGACUGAGACACGGCCCAGACUCCUACGGGAGGCAGCAGUGGGGAAUAUUGCGCAAUGGGCGAAAGCCUGACGCAGCGACGCCGCGUGUGGGAUGACGGCCUUCGGGUUGUAAACCACUGUCGGGAGGGACGAAUGCGCCGCAAGGCGAGUGACGGUACCUCCAAAGGAAGCACCGGCUAACUCCGUGCCAGCAGCCGCGGUAAUACGGAGGGUGCGAGCGUUGUCCGGAAUCACUGGGCGUAAAGGGCGCGUAGGCGGCCUGAUAAGUAGAGGGUGAAAUCCUGCGGCUUAACCGCAGGGCUGCCUUUUAAACUGUCAGGCUAGAGCACGGUAGAGGCAGAUGGAAUUCCCGGUGUAGCGGUGGAAUGCGUAGAGAUCGGGAAGA